CAAAUACUCCCUCCGUCCGGAAAUACUUGUCAUCAAAAUGGAUAAAAGGAAAUGUAUCUAGACGUAUUUUAUUUUUAGAUAUAUCUUUUUAUCCAUUUAGAUGACAAGUAUUUUCGGACGGAGGGAGUAGAAA
Non-coding RNA from Triticum aestivum (bread wheat), 133 nucleotides. The record is from Rfam. Lineage: Eukaryota; Viridiplantae; Streptophyta; Magnoliopsida; Poales; Poaceae.